AACGAACGCUGGCGGCAUGCCUAACACAUGCAAGUCGAACGAAGCCUUCGGGCUUAGUGGCGCACGGGUGCGUAACACGUGGGAAUCUGCCCUUUGGUUCGGAAUAACAGUUAGAAAUGACUGCUAAUACCGGAUAAUGACGUAAGUCCAAAGAUUUAUCGCCGAAGGAUGAGCCCGCGUAGGAUUAGGUAGUUGGUGGGGUAAUGGCCCACCAAGCCGACGAUCCUUAGCUGGUCUGAGAGGAUGAUCAGCCACACUGGGACUGAGACACGGCCCAGACUCCUACGGGAGGCAGCAGUGGGGAAUAUUGGACAAUGGGCGAAAGCCUGAUCCAGCAAUGCCGCGUGAGUGAUGAAGGCCUUAGGGUUGUAAAGCUCUUUUACCAGGGAUGAUAAUGACAGUACCUGGAGAAUAAGCUCCGGCUAACUCCGUGCCAGCAGCCGCGGUAAU
Molecule: ribosomal RNA, 450 nt
Filed under: uncultured bacterium
Lineage: Bacteria
Description: bacterial SSU rRNA
Rfam family: Bacterial small subunit ribosomal RNA
Source: RNAcentral